GGUGAGAUGGCCGAGCGGUCUAAGGCGCCAGACUAAGGAUCUGGUCCGAAAGGGCGUGGGUUCGAAUCCCACUCUCNGAUGGCCG
RNAcentral lists this transfer RNA (85 nucleotides) under Phlebiopsis gigantea 11061_1 CR5-6. RNAcentral's name for it is "tRNA-Leu (AAG) (tRNA-Leu-AAG-3-1)". The stretch from base 4 to 76 matches the Rfam family "tRNA". From Rfam's summary of the family: Transfer RNA (tRNA) molecules are approximately 80 nucleotides in length. Their secondary structure includes four short double-helical elements and three loops (D, anti-codon, and T loops). The record is from RNAcentral. Lineage: Eukaryota; Fungi; Basidiomycota; Agaricomycetes; Polyporales; Phanerochaetaceae.